Molecule: small RNA, 570 nt
Filed under: Malus domestica (apple)
Lineage: Eukaryota; Viridiplantae; Streptophyta; Magnoliopsida; Rosales; Rosaceae
Description: sRNA MD11G0139000
Source: RNAcentral
GGGGGCCAUCAUCCAAAGACACUACAUUUCACAUCUCACAACUUCAUUCACAAACACAAUUUCCUUGCCGUGACCUCCAUCCAUUCAUCUAGCCAUACUACAUCUCACCAAUCCAUACACUUUCAUCUCUUAGCCGUGCAAAUCCAUUCCAUCCAUAUAUCCAUACACAUCCUAGACACUUGUGCUACAACAAGGUGGUGAAAACAAAGGUCCUUGACGUUUCAAGCUUGGAACUUUGGAGCGUUUUAGGUGUACUUCGUUCUUGCUUUCAAUGUCUACUUUGUCCUUGACAUUUCAAGCUUGGAACUUUGGAGCGUUUUAGGUGUACUUCGUUCUUGCUUUCAAUGUCUACUUUGUUAUUUUCUAAUUUUGUUGCAAUUAUGAGUGGCUAAACCCCUAUUUAGUUAGGGGGAAGUUUGAAGCCAUGAACAUGCUUGAGAUUUGAAUUGAUUUCUUCCAAUUGUGAUUUGAUAAGUUGUGAUUGCAAUUCAAUUAUCUAUUUUAUUCAUAACUGAUUCUUGUAUGUUUAUUAAGGAUGCAUACUUAGUUUUCAUGCAUGAAUUAGAUGCU